Molecule: long non-coding RNA, 401 nt
Filed under: Musa acuminata (dwarf banana)
Lineage: Eukaryota; Viridiplantae; Streptophyta; Magnoliopsida; Zingiberales; Musaceae
Description: long non-coding RNA (MACU_LNC003700)
Source: RNAcentral
CACUUCUCUCUCUCUCCUCUUUCCCUUUCCUCUGGUUAGGGUUAGGGUUUUCGUGUUCCUUCUCUUCCGCUUCCCCAGGAGCAGAAAUCGGGUAGAGAGCGAGGUUUUUGAGGGAGUUUUGACGGAUCCGAGAUGGGAUCGGAGGCGGCCGCCGUCGUCCCGACCUCGCUGGUGCAGGAGAGCUUCGCGGAGCUGGAGAAGCAGCGGGAGCUCAUCACCUGCUGCACGCUGCUCUGGAAGGAGCUCUCCGACCACUUCUCCACUCUCGAGCGAGGGAUCGAGAUCAAGUCCGAAGCCCUCCGGUCGAAGCGCGAGUCUCUCGACGGCUCCACCCGGCGCACCCUCGACUCGCUCCGCCGCCGCGAGCUCUCCAUCGAUGGCGCCGUCGACCUGGCCCUCGC